GUUGAAUGGUAGAGCAUGGCGCUUGUAACGCCAGGUUUGUGGGUUCGAUUCCUAC
RNAcentral lists this transfer RNA (55 nucleotides) under Salmo salar (Atlantic salmon). It matches the Rfam family "tRNA", at positions 10 to 63 of the family's 71-position model. Rfam says of the family: Transfer RNA (tRNA) molecules are approximately 80 nucleotides in length. Their secondary structure includes four short double-helical elements and three loops (D, anti-codon, and T loops). Further hydrogen bonds mediate the characteristic L-shaped molecular structure. tRNAs have two regions of fundamental functional importance: the anti-codon, which is responsible for specific mRNA codon recognition, and the 3' end, to which the tRNAs corresponding amino acid is attached (by aminoacyl-tRNA synthetases). tRNAs cope with the degeneracy of the genetic code in two manners: having more than one tRNA (with a specific anti-codon) for a particular amino acid; and 'wobble' base-pairing, i.e. permitting non-standard base-pairing at the 3rd anti-codon position. The record is from Rfam by way of RNAcentral. Lineage: Eukaryota; Metazoa; Chordata; Actinopteri; Salmoniformes; Salmonidae.